AGGACGAACGCUGGCGGCGUGCUUAACACAUGCAAGUCGAGCGACGCUCCUCCUUCGGGAGGAUGACGGAGCGGCGAACGGGUGAGUAACACGUGGGCAACCUGCCCCUAGCUCUGGGAUAACCCCGGGAAAUCGGGACUAAUACCGGAUAUGAAGUCGGACGGCAUCGUCUGACUUGGAAAGUUUUUCGGCUAGGGAUGGGCCCGCGGCCUAUCAGCUUGUUGGUGGGGUAAUGGCCUACCAAGGCGACGACGGGUAGCCGGCCUGAGAGGGCGACCGGCCACACUGGGACUGAGACACGGCCCAGACUCCUACGGGAGGCAGCAGUGGGGAAUAUUGCACAAUGGGCGAAAGCCUGAUGCAGCGACGCCGCGUGAGGGAUGACUGCCUUCGGGUUGUAAACCUCUUUCAGCAGGGACGAAGCGAAAGUGACGGUACCUGCAGAGAAGCACCGGCAACUACGUGCCAGCAGCCGCGGUAA
Molecule: ribosomal RNA, 481 nt
Filed under: uncultured bacterium
Lineage: Bacteria
Description: SSU rRNA
Rfam family: Bacterial small subunit ribosomal RNA
Source: RNAcentral